GAAGGCAUGUGAAGCCGAGUAAACUUGGAACAAACUUUGGUCUCCUGUUGCAACGAAAUAUAGACAACUUCCGGAGGGAUGGGAGGCUGUGAAUCAAAGCGGAUGUUAGCAUAUCACAAUUUGAUAUUGCCAACUCCUGAAGAGAGGUAUAAUAAUCUAACCCACUCGGUAGACUUGACAACUCCUGACAGCCUGUAAUCUUUAAUUCACAGAGGGAUGAGAGGGGCUGUGUAACUGGAAUCAACUCUAGACUACCGCAAUCUUCCACAAUCAGGUUCUUAAGAGAUGUUGUGAGUAGCCCAUCAGGAAAAUAAGCAAGAAUAGGACACUUGGAAAUACGCACUGACUCAAGAAGUGCGCAAGAGCCAACUACAUCAAGAGCAAUACAAGUUAGCUCCUGACAAUCUUUUAUCUCCAAGUAUGCAAGAUUCUUGUUGUUUUUAAGCAUCCCUUCUGGCAGAGAAACAAGUCCGCUUAUGUUCCUUAUUGCGAGCGAAGUAAGAGUGGUCAGCUUAUUGCUUAUGUUUGCUAUUGGCAUGCCGCUACCCAUGGAAUCUAUCUCCAACGUCUUGAGAGAUGGGAAAUGGCUAGGAGCACUUCUCAAUUUAUCACAAUUCCUCAAAACCAGCUCCUCGAGACAAGGAAAGACCACGAUCCCACUUUCUGGCCAUUCAGUUAGGUUCCUAGCAUUGUAAAUCUUUAACCUUUUCAAUACAGGAAACGAACUACUCAUGAUCCAUGAUGGACAUUUAUCACCCAUGAAGUUGAAAAAUUGUAAAAAUUCCAGUUUACUAGGGUGUGGUUGAAGGCCUUCUAGUACCUCUUCAUCAUUGGUGAUGCUUGACCUAUCCUCUGCCCACUGAAACUUUAACUUGCUUAUGUUUGUCUUCUUCACUAAUUUUGCUUUCUUGGCUUCUUCUCCAUCUCUCACGUGCUCUAGAUUAUAGAUAGUUAAUCUGCCUUUUAACAAGUUUAAGCCAGCCAGCUCCUCUAUUCCACGACCUGUCUCCUUACCCACGAUGAAAUAUUUUAAUGUUCGGAGAUUAGUCAAUCGCCCUAUCCUUGCUGGAAAUUUCAUACCAUACGGAUAAAAAUAAAUAUGUCUCAAGUUUAUCAAAUUUUGCAGUUCUUUUGGAAACUCUUCAAGCUCGACCUCUUUCAUUCUUAAUGUUUGUAGAUUAUAAAGCUUUCCAAUGGAUUUGGGGAGUGCUUUGAUCUUUGUAUAGGAAACAUCCAGAUACCUCAAGUGUUUCAACUUUCCAAUUGCAAUUGGCAACUCCUUCAUAUAAGUUUGAUAUAAAUUUAAGACACGCAAACCUCUAAAGUUUGGUAAGAUAUCACCAAGAACUUCAACAUUCAAGAAAAGUGAGCGCAAUUUAUGAGCACCUCUUUCUGGAACUCCAUGUAGCACUGAGGUAGGAAUAUGUGCCAUAUGUCGAGUCUCAUUGGAGUCAUUACUCUUCGUUUUUGACACAAGUUCUGCGAGAUCAUGCACAAGGUCGUGCAUUUUGCAACUUGUAAUAUUACCAUACCAAUCCUUUUCAACGUCUUGAAAGAAAGAGUUGUUCAAUAGAAUAUUAAAAUAUUCAUUUCCUAUAUCCUCCAUCUCUAGAUUACGUCUGUUGGGAGGAGAAGGGUAAAGCAAUCCUUGAGCCAUCCAAAGUUGGAUCAAGUCAUCCUUUUCAAUUUCGAAAUCUUUGACAAACAUUGAGCAAUAUGCAAAACAUUGUUUCAAAUAUGGUGAUUUCAAUUUAUCAAAACUCAACUUCAAAACCGACAAGAUUCUUUCUUCUCCUUCUGGUAAAUCCCAUAUUCUACUUUCUAGAAUUGACCGACAUCCAUCAAUAUCUUGAGAACGCAUCAUAUUUCCCAAAACCUAGUGUACAUGAGUUUGAAUUUGUAUUAAAUGAUAAUAAUGAGGUAAAUUAACAAUAAUAACAUUAUAAAACGGAUCCUUAAAAUAGUCAUCAUGCACCCCUCACUUAAAAUAUUCUCAGCAUAUGCAAUCAGUAAUCCUAUUAGGUCAGUUUAGUACUUAAUUAAUAUAAAGCUACCAUAAAAUUUCAAUAUAUUUGUUCCAUAUACAAAAGAAAAAAAAUGAUAUAGAUCUAAUACUAAUGCAUGCAUAAAUCAUGAAAUUUCACUUAGAACCCCUGAAUUUUAGCAUAAUUACAGCUAGAGCCACAUGUUUCAUUUAUUGCAAUCACACCCCCUAAAUCUAAUUAGAUUAAAGAAAAAACCCCCAACAAAAUCAGGCACUACCCCCAACCAAACCCUUCAGCCACAACCCCAUCCAAGCCCAUCCUCAAUCCAUCCCCAACUAACCUCCCCGACCAAAAAUCCCACCCAACCACCCCGGCGCACCACCAAGCUCUUGUGGGUUAGAGGUUUAUAAAUGAAGAACAGAAAAGAACAAGAAGAAAAAAGUACUUCAACACAUACCUUUGCCACUAAUGGUACACCUGCACACUUUUUGGCAAUCUCCCUUCCGAUUCUCUCUUGAUCUUCAGUCAAAACAACACUCGCAUCUAGAAACGCUUUAUACUUCAAUAUGCACCAGCAUUGAUCCUCCGAUAAUUUUCCCAGAACACAUGUAGGAAGUGUUUGUACAAUUGAUGAAACACUCACAUUGCGAGUAGUGACAAGGAUUUUGCUUGCUUUAGUGCUUGUAGCAUUCAACAAGCAACUCAUCAAAUCGUCCCAUUUGCUACGAUCGUCGUUCCAAACAUCGUCAAGCACGAGAAGAUAUGUCUUCCCUUUCAAAUCUUCUUGCAGGUUUUCACAUAUUGUUGCUUUACCCUUUAUCCCAGCUUUCUCUGGUUUAAGACAUUCCAAGAUCUCGCUUAAAAUCUUUUUGACUUCAAAAGGAGUAGAUACACAUACCCAUAUUUUUUGAUCGAAGUGUCUACCUAUCUCAGGAUCAUUAUAUACAGAUUUAGCCAAAGUUGUCUUGCCCAAGCCUCCCAUCGCCACAAUGGCCAUAACAGAAAGACAAUUGUCUUGGUUCUUGCCAGAGUUGAUCAGGGUUGUAACUAUGUCCGACGCAACCUCCUUCCUUCCAACAAUGUACUUUUCAUCUUGAUCAAAGUUUGAGACGGUUUCCCUGUCAAGUCCUCCAAUAUCAUGAGAUGUUGCAUUGACCAGUGUUGACCUAUCAACCAGUCCAAUACUAGCUGCCUCAUUCUUCAGGUUUGCCAAAGAUGCAUUGAUGUUUUUAAUUUUAUGUGCCAUUUUGCGACGAAAUGCAAUGGGAUUGUGGCGUGAAAAGAAGUUGAGCACCUUGUUCUUGAUCUGAUUUUGGAUCUCCACUUUCCGCCGGAGAAGUUCAUAUUCAUAUUCAUCCAACACAUCAUCUGCUUCAUGAGCUAUGCCUUCCAGAUCCUUCACCCACAUCUCCACCCUCUCACCCCGAACUUGUAAAUGUUGUGCAUCUCUGAGCAUAGCUUCCAACUUGAAUAAUGAGUCUCGUAGAGUUGUUAGCUCUCCUUUGAAUCCCCAGAGAAGACUGAGUUCUUGCUCUGCAAGUGAAGCCACCCUCGUCAGAAUUCCCUCAGCACCAAAAGUAAGAAACUCUGCAGCCAUAUUUUCUUUCAGUGUUGCUCAAGACAGAGAGCAGAAUGCUUAGUUUGGGUUAGAAAAGUAGAGCAAAAUUGAGGACGCAAUGUAUCUUUGAGAAGGUUGUGAGGGAUUUGUAGACAAGAAGGUGCGCAUAUGGCUGGCGUAAAAAGAUAUAAUAAUUGAAGAGAGCAUCAAGUGCUGUCGGUUGGAUUAUCGGGGUUGUUUGGAAUACUUUUGAAAAAAUAAUAAUGAGAAUCGGCACCAAGUCAUUCUUUAUCCCGCUCCAGUCCAAAACCAAAAAGUCACAAGAAAUUAAAAAAUUUAUAAUGGCGACGUGGUGGGGACCUCGGAUUUGAUGAGACAUUAGGCUACUGUUAAUUACUUUUCUUGUGUCCGUAGACGCUUUUUGAUUAAUCGAUGACAUUGUCGUUGUUGAGAAAUAAUCAAAGAAAGUUGUUAAUAGCUCAUCAAAUUUGCACGUCAUUAGGUUCCAUGAGGAGCGCUUGCCCUUAAACGAUUAUUAAAAGAUGCUAAGUGCUUAAUAAUCUUUUUGAAGCAGUCAAAGUUGGACAAACAUUAUUUUAACUCUAUGUUCAAGAGGGCCUGGGACAAUUAUUUUGAAUUUUGAUUCUUGAAUAAAAUUUUAAUGCAAAGUCCUUUAUAAUGAAUACACGUCAACGUAGGAAAUAAAGCAAUGUUAUGUUACAAAUUGAAACGAAACAAAAUUAUAAGACAGUGUUUUAGUUAUAAAUACAGUGGCAUAUAGUAAGUAUUACGCUACAAAACUAUAAGUUAUAAGUAGAGAAUCCGAAUUUUUUCCAACUGAAUUAUUUGUUAACACGAAAAUCGAACUUGGAAUCUUUAUCCUUUACCUCAAUUGGGUCUAAUUUAAUGCUUAUUCAAUGGUGAAAACACUUCUUGCUACUAUAAUAAUACUACUACAUUUGAGCCAAGACUCAAGUCUUAGGCUAUCUUCAGUCAUAGGGCUAAAUAUCGUCUAGGGCUAAAUAUUUAGCCUCCAAAAUAUUAAUUUUUUAAAGAUAGUAUAGGGCUAAAUUUUUUCAUCUCCAGCCAUGCAAGGCAAUAUUUUAGGGUCCUUUAUAUUUUAUUAUUUUGAGAAAAACUAUGGUACAACACUCAUGCAUUCCACAACUAUGUAUUGUUUAAUUUAAUUAAACUACUAUUUAGAGACAAUAUUCCAUGACCAAUAAUUUUUUUUAAUUUUUUUUAAACAACACUUGAAAACAUUUAAAAAGGUGACCACAUUUAUUUAUUAUUAUUUUUUAAAAGGAUGAGUUUCAAUGGUCUGACCUCCAACGAUCAUGACUAGUAAUUUUUUAUAAUUUUUUUACAAAUUGAAAAUAUUUGAAAAGGUGAUCACAUUUUUUUUUAAAAAAAAGUUGGGUUUCAAUAGUCUGACUUCCAAUGGUCAUGACCAAUAAUUUUUUUAAAUAAAUGUUUCUUAAACAACACGAAUUGAAAACAUUUAAAAAGGCUUUUAAAAAUAUAUCGAUGAAGUCAUCACUUUUAUUGUUGGCUGUUGGAUAUGAAUUUGCACGAGAUAAUUCGUGUUGUUGCCCACACUUAAUAAUUUAUCUUCUUCAAAAGCACACACCUGAACCCUAAAGCUGGGCCAAAUAUGGCCCAGUUGGAGGGCAAAAUGGCUAAAUUUGGCCAAAAUUUUAUUUAGCCCAUGACUGGAGAUGAGUUUCGCAUUAUUUUAGAGCUAUAUUUGGGAUAUAUAGGGCUAAAUGUAAUCCAGGACUAAAUAUUUAGCCCUCUAAAAUAUUAAUUUUUUAAAAAUAAUGUAGGGUUAAAUUGAGAUACUUAAAUACAAAUCGAAUCUAAAUUCAAAAACUAAUAAAACAAUUAAUCCCAAUAAUAAUUUAGGAGAGCGCCAAGUGCUGUCGGUUGGGCUACUAAUCCCACGAUGAUUGUGUGGAAUUAUUGCAUGUAAUAAUUGUGUGUGGAAUACUUUUGAAAAAAAAAUUAAAAUUGUGCAUGGAAUAAUUGUGGAUAGAUAUCCUUGUGCUUAGAUUCUGGAUGAGGUUGUGGACGGGCUUAAAAUGAAAGGAUGGUAUAGUUGUUUUGUCCAUUUGUGAUUAACAAAUUUUCUUUGUAUAUUGUCACCCAAAUACAUAAACUAAAUGCAAGGGACUUGUAUUAUAACUGGUUAAAAAUAUUUAUUCAUAAAUUGAAGGUAUUAAGUUUAAUUACACUUUUUUUUAGAAUUGCUUUUUAUUAAAAAAAAAAAUACAUGAACUAAAUGAACCGUUUAUCACGAGAAUCUUAAUUAUUAUCAAAUUCCAGAUUUUUACAGGAAACUUACAUUGUGAAUUUACUUUAACCACCAGGACCUGCAACUAAAUAUAAUCCCAUCCCAAUUCCAAACAAUCAAUUUCACAUCUGUAAAAUUUUCUCGUUAUGGCCCUCAAUUUCACUAAUUAUGCGUAUUAUCUCAAAAUUUACAACGAACAAAUAAAUUCCACCGGGGGUGUCCGAAUGACUAAGCAGUACAGGAACAGAAAUAGAAAAGCUUAUAUGUGAUUGCCAUUUCAAGUUGCAACUGUUGUUACUCUGCCUUCCUCUCAAUCUCUUCCAGUGCUUCCCACAAUUUUGUCUCCUCAAAGUCUCUUCAAUAACGAAGGCCACUACUGGCAUUCCAGCUGCUACUCCAGCUUUCACCCCUGAAACAGAAUCCUUAACAACCAAAAACAGAACACAGAUGAGUGCAAGGCAUAUCAAAAACUUACUGGAGAAUGCUGUUGUUAGUAUUGCAAAGCACACAGUUCUGAGAGCCGAACCUCAAAUGCGAAAGGGUCAGGAAAUGGUUUCGCUCCAUCACAUUCAUCUCCAACAACAACAAAUUCAAAGAAAUUCAAGAGCUCCACCAUUUGGCCUUGGAGCAUUUGUCCCUGCAGUCUGUAUCAAGCCUUGAUUUUCAAUCCAUUGGUGCAACUUGUGGAGGUCCUUAACAGGUUCUACUUGUUCAGAUGCCAAUCUGAUCUCAUUGGAUGAGAGAAAAUGAAACAGAUGAAGCAUUUUUUUCUUUCAGAAAACUAUUGGAACACUCUGAGUAUAUAAUUGAAAAGCAUUUUUUUUCUUUCCAAAAACUGACAAGAAAAGACGACCCCCUGUUAUUAAUACCACAUUAUGUCCAAAUCAAUAGGGUGUGUGAUUAAUCUAAAACGUCACAAAUUUUGUCUAGCUUAAAACAAAAUAAAAAAGCUUCUGAUUUUGUUGCAUAGCAGUUUACUUGAGUUGCACAUUCUAAAACAAGAAAUUCUUAGCAAUCUGAUGUGUAACAUAAAUACGAAAUACAUAAAAAAUUAAAAAUAAGAAUAAAAAGAGUUGAUUUUUUCACUUCUCUUUUGUUCACUUGGAUGCUGAUUCUUGGAUUACACUUAUAAAAACCAAAAGGUAAGUGGACAAAAACAGAGUGCGAAAAUCAGCAGCCAAAAAAAGGGAAAGAGAGUGGAGCAAUAAGAUAGGAUGCUGGUUCUUGGGUUGUUGGGCUUGGUGCUUUAAAUGUUAGGAAGCUCACAUUUGUAUCCAAAAUCCAUCUUUGGACACCCAUGUUAAAUUUUAAAUAAAUUUUUAGUUUUCUUUGGACACAGAAUUUGACAAAUUAAAAUACAAUAUAUAAUGAAUGUUUUCAUUACUAAUAUAAAAAUUUCCACUUGUUAGGGUUUGUAGGUUCCUUAAAAAUUAGUGUUGGUCAUAGUGGACCGGUGAUCUGUCUCUUUGAUCGGGCCUGAAUUUCACAUACGUAAAAGAUGUUCUAUAAUAGCAAGCCCAAAGAGGAAACAAAUUUGUGUACUCUUUUUCCUUAAGAUUUAAAAAUACAGAGUGGAAUGUAUACCUGUAGAAAUUGGAGAGCUUUUGAAUACCUUCACAACACAAGAGAAACCAACAACCUUACUUUUUCCAGAAAGAAUCAAUCCUAUAAAGCUGUUAGAAAGCUAAUAUAAUAUCUGAGCAUCAUCUUCAAAACAGAAAACCAUCUGGUGGAAAGUACCUGGACUCUGUUUGCUCCCAUUACAAAAAAUGUUCCUUCAGGUAACAAAUAAAAAACCCACCUCCAAAUUAUGCCAAAAUAACAAUAGACCCUACCUGCAGAAGCAACAUCAUAGACAGAGAGUAAACUCAUGAGAAAAAAGAACAACAGAGGCUAGGGAGUUGCUUGUAUCAAAUACUAAUUAUAAAUACGACAUAAUAAUAUGAAUUCCACACCUGUAGGCUGUAGGCUGUAGGCUGUAGGGAAGGGAGACCUUUUCUUCAAUCAACUCUCCACACCAGCACUUGUCUCAAGGAAAAAAGCAACUGACUUGAGUUGAAUGCCAGAGGAAAAGAAAAUGUGAUAUAUGGGAGAAAAGAGUUUUAUUCUUUUUAGAGAAUGAAAAAAGAAUGAUACCUUUAGAAGCAGAGUCACUCAGUGACUUGAGUUGAGGAUCAUUUUCUCAACAACAAUUCACACCACUUUCAACUAUUUCGCAUUUCAGGAUGAUACUUUCUCAGACUAUUGAAUCUGGUAGCUACAACCGUACGUGGUCAACUAGAGAUUUAAACAUAAAUAUUAGAAAUCAUUAUUUCGUAAAGGGGAAAGAAUUAGAAAGUAAUUAAGUUCAAUGAAAUGUAGGUGAAGAAAAUAGAAUGCAUAGUUGAUUUAAGAGCCAAAAAUAAUAAAAGCAAAAAGAAAAACAUACCAUAUAUUCUUGGAAUACGAGAAAUCUUAGGCCAUUCUGAGCCGCUCUUCUUGUUGCAUCUCUCUUUUAGAAGGGGACAAUGCAAAAUCCAUAUGCGUUCUAAUUUGGUGAGGCAUUGCAUAGCUUCGAGUGUAGGUAGAUACAUCAUAUUCUUGCAAUAAUAUAUAUCCAAGUACUUAAGAGAUGUAAGGUUUCUCAACCACUCUGGAAGAGCCUCCAUUCCGUCAAAGGAUUCCACUUUGAAAAAUGUUAGAGAAGUGAAGUGUUGAAUUUGUUCAGGCAGAGACUUGAGUUUAGGCCAACCCCAUAACUUUAAUGUUUUAAGUUGUGAUGUAACCUGAAAAGCAGGGAAUGAAUCGAGCUCCUUCCAAAAGCCACCGAUUUCCAAUGUCUUCAAGUGGUUGAGGCAGGAUGUUAUUGCUAAUCCACUGGGUAGACUUUUCAAUCCAUCGCAAGAAAAUAUCCCCAAUUCCUGGAGGUUUGUGAGGUUGUCUAAACUUGUAAUAGAUUCUACAUUCGGCAACUUGCUUAUUCUCAACACCUCAAGACAAGAACAUGAUUCUAGCCUUAUUGGCAGACUUGUCAAUCCAUGGGAAUCUUCGAUUCUCAAUUCACGAAGGCAUGUAAAGCCGAGUAAACUUGGAACAGACUCUGGACUCAUGCUGCAACCAAAUAUUGACAACUUCCGGAGGGAUGGGAGGCUGUGAAUCAAAGCGGAUGUUAGCAUAUCACAAUUUGAUAUUGCCAACUCCUGAAGAGAGGUAUAAUAAUCUAACCCACUCGGUAGACUUGACAACUCCUGACAGCCUGUAAUCUCUAAUUUGCAGAGGGAUGGGAGGGCCUGUGUAACUGGAAGCAACUGUAGACCAUUGCAAUCUUGUACAACCAGUUUCUUAAGAGAUGUUGUG
This 9172-nucleotide long non-coding RNA is filed under the name Prunus persica (peach). Its description in RNAcentral is "long non-coding RNA (PPER_LNC002593)". Lineage: Eukaryota; Viridiplantae; Streptophyta; Magnoliopsida; Rosales; Rosaceae. The record is from RNAcentral.